UACGGCGUGGACUACCAGGGNUAUCUAAUCCUGUUCGCUCCCCACGGUUUCGCACCUCAGCGUCAGAUCAAGCCCAGUUGGCCGCCUUCGCCUCUGGUAUUCCUCCGGAUCUCUACGCAUUCCACCGCUACACCCGGAAUUCUACCAACCUCUGCUUGUCUCCAGCCCGACAGUAUCCCCUGGCCUCCCGGGGGUUGAGCCCCGGGCUUUCACAGUGAGACUUACCGAGCCGCCUAUGUGCGCUUUACGCCCAAUAAUUCSGAACAACGCUCGCACCCUCCGGUAUUACCGCGGCUGCUGGCACGGAGUUAGCCGGUGCUUCCUCUGGUGGUACCGUCAUCCCGAAGGCAUUUCCUCCCCCGGACCUUCUUCCCACCCGACAGCGGUUUACACCCCGAAGAGCUUCCUCCCGCACGCAGGCGUCGCUGCGUCAGCCUUUCGGCCAUUGCGCAAGAUUCCCCACUGCUGCCUCCCGUAGGAGUCUGGGCCGUAUCUCAGUCCCAAUGUGGGGGGCCAUCCUCUCAGACCCCCUAGGCGUCGUCGGCUUGGUGGGCCGUUACCCCACCAACUACCUGAUACCCCGSGAGCCCCUCCCUGCACGCCGCCCGAAAGCGANUUUSCUCRMCCSGGCCAUCAGCCCAAUGAGAACAUGCGGUAUUAGACCGGGUUUCCCCGGGCUUAUCCCCCGCACAGGGGCAGGUCACUCACGUGUUUACGCACCCGUUAAAACUCAAAAGGAAUUGAACGGGGGCCCGGCACCAAGCGGUGGAGCAAUGUGGUUUAAUUCGAAGCAAACGCGAAAGAACCUUACCUGGGCUUGACAUGCACGUGAAAGCUGGUGGAAACAUCGGUCCUCCUUCGGGACACGUGCACAGGUGCUGCAUGGCUGUCGUCAGCUCGUGUCGUGAGAUGUUGGGUUAAGUCCCGCAACGAGCGCAACCCCUGCCUGCUGUUGCUAACAGGUGAUGCUGAGGACUCUGCAGGGACUGCCGGUGAUAAACCGAAGGAAGGUGGGGACGACGUCAAGUCAUCAUGGUCCUUACGUCCAGGGCUACACACGUGCUACAAUGGCCGGGACAAACCGAAGCGAUGCCGCGAGGUGGAGCGAAUCGGAAAAACCCGGUCUAAGUUCGGAUUGCAGUCUGUAACUCGACUGCAUGAAGUUGGAAUCGGUAGUAAUCGUGGAUCAGCUACGGCCACGGUGAAUCCGUUCCCGGGCCUUGUACACACCGCCCGUCACGCCAUGGAAGUUGGGAGUGCCCGAAGUCCGUGAGCCAACCGNCAGGAGGCAGCGGCCGAAGGCAGCUC
RNAcentral lists this ribosomal RNA (1308 nucleotides) under uncultured bacterium. Its description in RNAcentral is "bacterial SSU rRNA". The stretch from base 694 to 1308 matches the Rfam family "Bacterial small subunit ribosomal RNA", at positions 875 to 1468 of the family's 1533-position model. The record is from RNAcentral.